GAUGAACGCUGGCGGCGUGCCUAAUACAUGCGAGUCGAGCGAACAGACGAGGAGCUUGCUCCUCUGACGUUAGCGGCGGACGGGUGAGUAACACGUGGAUAACCUACCUAUAAGACUGGGAUAACUUCGGGAAACCGGAGCUAAUACCGGAUAAUAUAUUGAACCGCAUGGUUCAAUAGUGAAAGACGGUUUUGCUGUCACUUAUAGAUGGAUCCGCGCCGCAUUAGCUAGUUGCUAAGGUAACGGCUUACCAAGGCAACGAUGCGUAGCCGACCUGAGAGGGUGAUCGGCCACACUGGAACUGAGACACGGUCCAGACUCCUACGGGAGGCAGCAGUAGGGAAUCUUCCGCAAUGGGCGAAAGCCUGACGGAGCAACGCCGCGUGAGUGAUGAAGGUCUUCGGAUCGUAAAACUCUGUUAUUAGGGAAGAACAAAUGUGUAAGUAACUAUGCACGUCUUGACGGUACCUAAUCAGAAAGCCACGGCUAACUACGUG
RNAcentral lists this ribosomal RNA (497 nucleotides) under uncultured bacterium. RNAcentral describes it as "partial 16S ribosomal RNA". It matches the Rfam family "Bacterial small subunit ribosomal RNA", at positions 28 to 507 of the family's 1533-position model. The record is from RNAcentral.